This 28-nucleotide non-coding RNA is filed under the name Rattus norvegicus (Norway rat). The record is from RNAcentral. Lineage: Eukaryota; Metazoa; Chordata; Mammalia; Rodentia; Muridae.
UGGCAUACACAAGAUGCAAUAAGGCAAA